ACCGUACUCCUACGGGAGGCAGCAGUGGGGAAUUUUGGACAAUGGGGGCAACCCUGAUCCAGCAAUGCCGCGUGAGUGAAGAAGGCCUUCGGGUUGUAAAGCUCUUUUGUCAGGGAAGAACCGGUAGUAGCUAAUAUCUAUUACUAAUGACGGUACCUGAAGAAUAAGCACCGGCUAACCACGUGCCAGCAGCCGCGGUAAUACGUAGGGUGCAAGCGUUAAUCGGAAUUACUGGGCGUAAAGCGUGCGCAGGCGGUUGUGUAAGUCAGAUGUGAAAUCCCCGGGCUCAACCUGGGAAUUGCAUUUGAGGCUGCACGGCUAGAGUGUGUCAGAGGGGGGUAGAAUUCCACGUGUAGCAGUGAAAUGCGUAGAUAUGUGGAGGAAUACCGAUGGCGAAGGCAAUCCCCUGGGCCUGCACUGACGCUCAUGCACGAAAGCGUGGGGAGCAAACAGGAUUAGAAACCCCAGUAGUCCUUGAC
Molecule: ribosomal RNA, 479 nt
Filed under: uncultured bacterium
Lineage: Bacteria
Description: bacterial SSU rRNA
Rfam family: Bacterial small subunit ribosomal RNA
Source: RNAcentral